CAGGAGGGAAAUUCAGUCAUUAAGCAAUACGGGAUCCUAGUGUUGGAAUUCUACACACUGCAAGAAAUGAUUCUGUUUAAGAAGGUAAAGUGAUAUGUACCCAGAAAAGCGCAGAUUUUGCAAUCCUACCCUAUAAUGGCUUCUACAUACCUCAAUACUACUAGGGAUGCACCGAAAUGAAAAUUCUGGUCCAAGACCGAAAAUUCAGGAUGCCCUUGGCCGAAAAACGAAAC
Non-coding RNA from Pelobates cultripes (western spadefoot toad), 233 nucleotides. The record is from the annotation of a GenBank genome assembly. NCBI's taxonomy places the organism in Eukaryota, Metazoa, Chordata, Amphibia, Anura, Pelobatidae.